CGCAGCCGCGGUAAUUCCAGCUCCAAUAGCGUAUAUUAAAGUUGUUGCAGUUAAAAAGCUCGUAGUUGAAUUUCGGGAUCAAUUUAUUGGUCGUGCCAACGGUACGCACUGGUACAAUUGGUUUCUCCCUUCUGACGAAGCAUGAUGUCAUUAACUUGAUGUCGUGGGGAAUCAGGACUGUUACUUUGAAAAAUUAGAGUGUUUAAAGCAGGCUUUGGCUUGAAUACAUUAGCAUGGAAUAAUGAAAUAGGACGUUUGAUCUUAUUUCGUUGGUUUCUAAGAUCGACGUAAUGAUUAAUAGGGAUAGUUGGGGCAUUAGUAUUCAAUUGUCAGAGGUGAAAUUCUUGGAUUUAUUGAAGACUAACUACUGCGAAAGCAUUUGCCAAGGAUGUUUUCAUUAAUCAAGAACGAAAGUUAGGGGAUCGAAGAC
RNAcentral lists this ribosomal RNA (430 nucleotides) under uncultured Glomeromycotina. RNAcentral describes it as "SSU rRNA". It matches the Rfam family "Eukaryotic small subunit ribosomal RNA", at positions 569 to 1005 of the family's 1831-position model. Lineage: Eukaryota; Fungi; Glomeromycota. The record is from RNAcentral.